GAAAGUAGGUGAGGCAGUUGCGAGCGGGCGGUGUCGAUCGCUAGCCCGUUCGAGGAAAGUCCGGGCACCCGAAAGACCGAACUUGCUGGGUAACGCCCAGUGCGCGCGAGCGUGAGGAUAGUGCCACAGAAACAUACCGCCUUUUACAGUGAGCAGUGAGCAGUGAGCAGUGAGCAGUUUUUGACUGGUGACUGGUAACUGGUGACUGGCGACUGUAGAAGGUAAGGGUGCAAAGGUGCGGUAAGAGCGCACCAGCAGCAUCGAGAGGUGCUGGCUCGGUAAACCCCGGGUGGGUGCAAGGUCGGAGGAACGACGGUUGGUCUUUUACCGGUUCCAAUGUUGGAGAACCGCUCGAGGUGUUUGGUAACAAACGCCGUAGAUAGAUAACUGCCCUCUAUGCUGCGUUUAGCGGUUUAGGGAACAGAACCCGGCUUAUGACUGCUUUCUCUG
This 450-nucleotide RNase P RNA is filed under the name Cyanobacteria bacterium SBC. Its description in RNAcentral is "RNase P RNA component class A". It matches the Rfam family "Bacterial RNase P class A". Rfam says of the family: Ribonuclease P (RNase P) is a ubiquitous endoribonuclease, found in archaea, bacteria and eukarya as well as chloroplasts and mitochondria. Its best characterised activity is the generation of mature 5'-ends of tRNAs by cleaving the 5'-leader elements of precursor-tRNAs. The record is from RNAcentral. Lineage: Bacteria; Bacillati; Cyanobacteriota. RNAcentral also lists the same sequence under 1 other name.